GGUCGUUAGGCUCAGUUGGUAGAAGCAGUUGACUUUUAAUCAAUUGGUCGCAGGUUCGAAUCCUGACGACCACCA
RNAcentral lists this transfer RNA (75 nucleotides) under Escherichia coli. RNAcentral describes it as "tRNA-Lys". It matches the Rfam family "tRNA". Rfam says of the family: Transfer RNA (tRNA) molecules are approximately 80 nucleotides in length. Their secondary structure includes four short double-helical elements and three loops (D, anti-codon, and T loops). Further hydrogen bonds mediate the characteristic L-shaped molecular structure. tRNAs have two regions of fundamental functional importance: the anti-codon, which is responsible for specific mRNA codon recognition, and the 3' end, to which the tRNAs corresponding amino acid is attached (by aminoacyl-tRNA synthetases). tRNAs cope with the degeneracy of the genetic code in two manners: having more than one tRNA (with a specific anti-codon) for a particular amino acid; and 'wobble' base-pairing, i.e. permitting non-standard base-pairing at the 3rd anti-codon position. The record is from RNAcentral. Lineage: Bacteria; Pseudomonadati; Pseudomonadota; Gammaproteobacteria; Enterobacterales; Enterobacteriaceae.